RNAcentral lists this ribosomal RNA (303 nucleotides) under uncultured bacterium. Its description in RNAcentral is "partial 16S ribosomal RNA". It matches the Rfam family "Bacterial small subunit ribosomal RNA", at positions 507 to 809 of the family's 1533-position model. The record is from RNAcentral.
AGCAGUCGCCGCGGUAAUACGUAGGGUGCAAGCGUUGUCCGGAAUUAUUGGGCGUAAAGAGCUCGUAGGCGGUUUGUCGCGUCUGCUGUGAAAUCCCGAGGCUCAACCUCGGGCUUGCAGUGGGUACGGGCAGACUAGAGUGCGGUAGGGGAGAUUGGAAUUCCUGGUGUAGCGGUGGAAUGCGCAGAUAUCAGGAGGAACACCGAUGGCGAAGGCAGAUCUCUGGGCCGUAACUGACGCUGAGGAGCGAAAGCGUGGGGAGCGAACAGGAUUAGAUACCCCAGUAGUCCCUGUCUCUUAUAA